RNAcentral lists this long non-coding RNA (208 nucleotides) under Olea europaea subsp. europaea. Lineage: Eukaryota; Viridiplantae; Streptophyta; Magnoliopsida; Lamiales; Oleaceae. The record is from RNAcentral.
UCCCACCUGCCUCGUUGCCAAAUAGGAUUCAAUUCGAGUAUUUCCCCAAGGCAACAUGCUCUCGAAAAUGCAUCCUUCAGUUUCUUUCAUGGAAGACUUUUACAGAAUUUAAGCAUAUAAAAUUAACAGGCAAUAUGCUCGAAAAAACCCAGUUAACACCAACGCCCAGCGAUAUGUGCAAUCACAUUAACAAGUAUCUGAAGACCAC